Molecule: non-coding RNA, 70 nt
Organism: Phrynosoma platyrhinos (Desert horned lizard)
Lineage: Eukaryota; Metazoa; Chordata; Lepidosauria; Squamata; Phrynosomatidae
Source: the annotation of a GenBank genome assembly
GACAGUGUGGUGUAGUGGUUUGAGCAUUAGACUGACUUUGGAGACCAGGGUUCAAAUCCCAGCUUGGCCA